Molecule: long non-coding RNA, 388 nt
Filed under: Neogobius melanostomus (round goby)
Lineage: Eukaryota; Metazoa; Chordata; Actinopteri; Gobiiformes; Gobiidae
Description: lncRNA (ENSNMLG00000007874.1)
Source: RNAcentral
GGGGAAAUAGCACCUGUUUUUUCAACAAAGUCGCUUAAUUUGCCCACUUUUCGUUCGCUGAUGCGGAGGUAAUCGCUGUCACAGCCAGGUGGGCAGGCUGUGAGAAUGGGCUCUAAUUAUAUUCAUGUUUUGUACCUGGAACAAUGUAAAAGGCGCUGGUGUUGGACUGACUAAAGGGACACAGCUAGCCUGAACUGCGUCAGUGAGAUGGGCCGAUAUAAUUGCUCAGCACACCCACAGAUGUCCUCAAGUAAUGGCUCACUCAUUGUUCUACUGGUCAAUCAGCAAAGGAAAUCGAUGCAUUUGGGGUCACUUUGAAGAGCAGAAGUGGAGAGCAACACAAUGUUAAACACUAAAUCACUUUUAAGACGGAGUUGCAGAGCAUGAA